RNAcentral lists this long non-coding RNA (3341 nucleotides) under Homo sapiens (human). RNAcentral describes it as "HSALNT0193619". The record is from RNAcentral. Lineage: Eukaryota; Metazoa; Chordata; Mammalia; Primates; Hominidae.
AUCACUAAGAGGAUGUGCAUUUCACCUUCUCCUCCUGUGUCUUGCUAGAAUGUGGAUAUGAUGGCUGAUGUGUAAGCAGCAAUUUUAAGGAUAAAAAGCUAGAGGAAUUAGAAGCAUGAGAAGGAUUUCACCUGCUGUUGCUGGCUUGAAGAUGGAGAAGACCACAGGAUAAGAGAUGUCAGUGGCCUCUAGAAGCUAACAGUGUCCCCUAACUCGCAGCCAGCAAGAAGUUAGCAACCUUAAUCCUACAACAAUGAGGAACCUAAUCCUUAAUGGAAACUAAUUAUUCUCCAGAGUCUUCAGUGUUCCCAGGAAACAUAACAUUCCAGAAGGCACAUCUGCCGUUACUAUAACAACAGAAAGGCAGCGUCUACGGAGAAUUAUCUGCACUAGAGGGCAGACUGCAAACCAGCAGGAUUCCUGGGUUCCUCUUCCAGGAGGCAAGGGUAAAUUUUGGUGAAAAGAAGCAAAGCCUGAACAGGGUUUUGGUGUAUGGAUGGGGCAUAGAGUGCUCAGAAUUUGAGGAAGGUGAAGGGCAGCCCAAGGUUUAUAAACUGUUUCUAGACCAAAGGUGCAAAACUGCUGUCAAGGAAAUCAGCUAGCAAGGAUUUAGGAAAACAUCUUAUUGUUGGGGUACAGGCACAGAGUUAAGAACUGGUUGGGGUAAUACUAGACAGAUGAAAGAAUCACUUUCCAGCUGUUUGACCCAAAGACAAAUCACAUCGCCUCCCAAGGGAGGUGAAGUCACUUACCCAGAGGAACAACAUCCACUACGAUCGCCCUAAGAGAUACUGAGAAUAGUCUUGAGCAUGGCUAUCAAGGCAAGUCCUGAGAUGCUUGCUAAAGAGUUGAACAUAGACAUGAAUCUCAGUCAGUCUGUCUGAGACUUUGCCUCUUUCCUUGCCUUGGCUUUUACUUUACUAGCUUCUUCUCAGGUUCUGGAUCUCUUUAGGCUUCUUUUCCAACCUCGCUACUAGACUGAUCUAUAUUUGGGAGUCCACCUCAGCCUGUCUGCCAUUCCAAAAAAAAAAAAAAAAACCCUAUUCAUGUCACUAAUCCCACUCUGCAUUCCUAGUCUCUCAGUUUCAAUUUCUCCUUACCUAACCUCUGGCUUUGCUUCAACAUAGAGUUUUCAGACCAUCCUGGAUUAAACUUUGCCCCUUUUAUGGUCAAAAUGGCUUAAUUAGCCAAUUAAGUUACCAUUCAGAGGAAGAGAUUAAUACUAGCAUAAAAUAAAUAAGCAGACAUAAAUUAAUUUCUAUAAAUGGUUUGAAGGAAAUAAACUAAAGUGUAGGAAAAACAGAGUGAGCCUUCCUUUUGUAGGUGGUCAAGAAAGACAUCUCUAAGGGAGGUGAUAUUUAAGUUGAGACCCAAGAAGAGAAGGAGUAGUUGGCUGUAUGAAUAGCAUGUGCAAAGCCCUGCAGCAUGAAAGAGGUUGUGGUUGUAGAACAAAAAGACUGCUGGGAUGAGGCAUCUCAGUAGCAAGCCGAGGAUAAGAGGGUCUUGAGAUGAGAGUGGGUACAGACCAGAUCAUGGAGACAUUUACAAGUCACGGUUAAACAGUUUGGAUUUCAUUCCAAGUUUCUUAAAUGGCAUAUUGUCACAAGACCAAAAGAGACCUUUGGGACUCAUUCCAUCUGUCAGGUAGGAGGUAAUUCUUUUUCUUUUUAUCCAUGCACCAACUUCUGUAAGUAAACUUGACUAAUGUUUGUUUAUAAUCAGUGAGUAAGCUGCUACUUUAAUACCGCUACCCUGGAAGAGGCCCUUCAAGGCAUGUUAAAUUAACUGAUGUGAAUAAAAACAAUGAAUAAAAAUACCUCUCUCCUUUAAUGAGAACAGCGACUUCUGUUUCCCUGAGCUUUUUCAGUCCCAUAAGACCUUUUAAAACAGAGUGAGCAUGUUCAGGUUCAAAUGCUAAAAACAUAAUCUUGUCUCUCUCUUGUUGGAUUAUGUUUCGAGAAGCCAUUUUAGAUCAAUCUUUUUGAGCACACAAGCUUCAGAAGCUGUGACUAAAACAUACCCAGCACUGCUGCUAGGUUGGUCAUUUUUCCCUAAGGCUGUUCUCACACAGAACCAAAGGGAUGUGCCCCUUCAUCUGAUACAUGGACCCUCCAGCUCAGGGACUGAUGAAAAAGAAGCCCCAAAGUUUGUGUUCUAUAAGGGCCUGCUUAUCCACUCAAAUCUCGUGUAAAAGGUUGGGUAAGAGUCUAUGUGCUUCUCUAAUUUGCCAUUCCUACGGGAGUUACAAAAAGUUUACAGAGGCACUUUUGGGAUCUAUUCAUAUGUUCUGCAUAUACUAUCUCGUAGGGAUUAGAUUCCAUGUUUAUCACACACUCUACAAAGAGACAAUGUUGUGUAAUGAAAAUUAGAUUUUAUUCCAAUUGUGUAAUUCAUUUGUUUUAUGGCCAAGUAAAAGUUAUUUUCUUUCCAAGCAUUUUUGUUUGUUUGUUUGUUUGUUUGUUUGUUUGCAAGAUGACCUCUAGGGCUCCUUCCAGUUCUAUGACUUUGUGAAUCUCUAUCAACAUGGACUCAAGAACAAUGCUGGUAUUAGCUAUGGUAAGCUAAACUGCUGUUACAAGUAGACUUCAAAGUGCAAAGGCCCAAACAAAAUAGAAAUCUUUUUUUUUCACCCAAUGGCUCAGGACAGGUGUUCUAGAUCAGCUGACAGCUCUGCUCCACAAUUCAAUUCAGAGAACUGGUCUAAAGAUACUUGGCCUUCAAAGUCACUCUAAUAAUAGCCCUUCCAGUCAGUCCAUCAGAAAGAAGACAAGCUGAAGUCCUGGGUAAGAGAUAUCUCACAAGGUAAAUGAAAUUAAAUUAUUCCUCUGGCAAGAGCCUAAACACAAGGUCACAUCUAGCUGCAAGAGAGGCCACAAAAUAUAGUCCCAGUCUGGAUCCAGACAGAACUCCAUUACUAGGGAAGAAGAUGAGAGAGAAUUGGGGUGGACAUAGAGCAGCCUCUGCUACGUGCCUAAUUCCUAUAUUAGGUUUCAGACUAUUAAACUUUUCAAUUACUGAAUUAUCAUCACAGUUCUAAGAGACAAUUACUACAAUGUUCAUUCUACAGAUGUGAAAACUAUGUCCCAAAGAGCUGAAGUAAAACACAUGAAGUCUCACAGUUAAAAGCUGAGCUAAGCUUCAAUUUCAGGUCUGCUGGUCAGUGCUUUCUCUACCAUAAGUACUAAAUUGAAAUAUUUGCAUAGCAAAUAAUCAUUAGCAUAAAUCUGCAUGAAUAAAAAGAACAACAAGGCAUUAUUGUGAAAGGUAAGAGGAACAGCUAAAGCAUGCAGCAGAUCUAGGACUGACUCCAAGUGUUAAGAGGUCUCCAAACUGAAAGAUGG